GUGUCAGCAGCCGCGGUAAGACGUAGGGCGCGAGCGUUGUCCGGAUUUAUUGGGCGUAAAGAGCUCGUAGGCGGCUCAUUGCGUCAACCGUGAAAUCCUGCUGCUCAACGGCAGGUCUGCGGUUGAUACGGGUGGGCUGGAGUUCGGUAGGGGAGACUGGAAUUCCUGGUGUAGCGGUGAAAUGCGCAGAUAUCAGGAGGAACACCGGUGGCGAAGGCGGGUCUCUGGGCCGAUACUGACGCUGAGGAGCGAAAGCGUGGGGAGCGAACAGGAUUAGAUACCCUCGUAGUCC
This 292-nucleotide ribosomal RNA is filed under the name uncultured bacterium. RNAcentral describes it as "partial 16S ribosomal RNA". It matches the Rfam family "Bacterial small subunit ribosomal RNA", at positions 505 to 796 of the family's 1533-position model. The record is from RNAcentral.